Molecule: long non-coding RNA, 243 nt
Organism: Saccostrea cuccullata (small rock oyster)
Lineage: Eukaryota; Metazoa; Mollusca; Bivalvia; Ostreida; Ostreidae
Exons: 3
Source: RefSeq, a predicted model, not a curated record
CCAUGUGUGAUGUAAAGAUGUUUAAAGCAGGUCUUGUGCAGUUACAGAGGACAGGACAGCAUCAAGAGUUUGUAGGAGAAUCAUGAUGAUGAUCAGUUGCAAUGUGAACUACCAAAUAACCAUGAAGUACAAGCAGAUCCAAUUAAUGUGGAACAAAUAAAGGAGAAUCAUGAUGAUGAUGAGCUGCUAUGUAAACUACCAAAUAACCAUGAAGUACAACCAGAUUCAAAGCAUAUGGAACAA